This 76-nucleotide transfer RNA is filed under the name Gammaproteobacteria bacterium. Its description in RNAcentral is "tRNA-Thr". It matches the Rfam family "tRNA". From Rfam's summary of the family: Transfer RNA (tRNA) molecules are approximately 80 nucleotides in length. Their secondary structure includes four short double-helical elements and three loops (D, anti-codon, and T loops). Further hydrogen bonds mediate the characteristic L-shaped molecular structure. tRNAs have two regions of fundamental functional importance: the anti-codon, which is responsible for specific mRNA codon recognition, and the 3' end, to which the tRNAs corresponding amino acid is attached (by aminoacyl-tRNA synthetases). tRNAs cope with the degeneracy of the genetic code in two manners: having more than one tRNA (with a specific anti-codon) for a particular amino acid; and 'wobble' base-pairing, i.e. permitting non-standard base-pairing at the 3rd anti-codon position. Lineage: Bacteria; Pseudomonadati; Pseudomonadota; Gammaproteobacteria. RNAcentral also lists the same sequence under 2 other names. The record is from RNAcentral.
GCCGGCGUAGCUCAGUUGGUAGAGCAGUGGUUUUGUAAACCAAAGGUCGGGGGUUCGAAUCCCUCCGCCGGCACCA